GUGAUAGCCACCAUGUCCUUGAGAUUCUUGAUGUGUGGUUUCAGGGGAUUUACUGUCAUGUGCGUUGACCAUACCCAGUCAGGUGAUGUAAGCAUGUCUUGCAAAUAAAAUGUUCCCAACUUGUUGUAUGAGCCACCCCCUUUCCAAUACAUUCCCAUUACGUAUUCCCCGGCGUCACCUGGGCUGGGGUGUUCUAUGUUUAAG
Non-coding RNA from Pelobates cultripes (western spadefoot toad), 204 nucleotides. NCBI's taxonomy places the organism in Eukaryota, Metazoa, Chordata, Amphibia, Anura, Pelobatidae. The record is from the annotation of a GenBank genome assembly.